RNAcentral lists this ribosomal RNA (492 nucleotides) under uncultured bacterium. RNAcentral describes it as "partial 16S ribosomal RNA". It matches the Rfam family "Bacterial small subunit ribosomal RNA", at positions 29 to 507 of the family's 1533-position model. The record is from RNAcentral.
AGUGAACGCUGGCGGUAGGCCUAACACAUGCAAGUCGAACGGCAGCACAGUAAGAGCUUGCUAUUACGGGUGGCGAGUGGCGGACGGGUGAGGAAUACAUCGGAAUCUACUUUUUCGUGGGGGAUAACGUAGGGAAACUUACGCUAAUACCGCAUACGACCUACGGGUGAAAGCAGGGGAUCUUCGGACCUUGCGCGAUUGAAUGAGCCGAUGUCGGAUUAGCUAGUUGGCGGGGUAAAGGCCCACCAAGGCGACGAUCCGUAGCUGGUCUGAGAGGAUGGAACGGCAACACUUGAACUGGGAAACGUCCCAACCACGAAGGGUAGGAGCCAGUGGGAAAAAUGGGACAAGGGGCGAAAUCCGAUUCACCCAAACCGGCGUGGGUAAGAAGGCCUUCGGGGUUGAAAUGCCCUUUUCUGGGAAAGAAAAAUCAGCAGGUAAAUCCCCCCCUGUCUUGACGUACCCAAAGAAUAAGCACCGGCUAACUUCGUG